RNAcentral lists this small RNA (29 nucleotides) under Bombyx mori (domestic silkworm). RNAcentral describes it as "piRNA piR-bmo-1688170". Lineage: Eukaryota; Metazoa; Arthropoda; Insecta; Lepidoptera; Bombycidae. The record is from RNAcentral.
UCAUGGACUACCUCCGCCUGGGGAAAAGC